This is a non-coding RNA of Oryza sativa Japonica Group (Japanese rice), 1382 nucleotides long. The record is from RefSeq and is a predicted model, not a curated record. Lineage: Eukaryota; Viridiplantae; Streptophyta; Magnoliopsida; Poales; Poaceae.
GUACCCAUCCACCUGACGGCUUUCUCUUUCCCUCGAAAACCAAAACCAAAACCAAAUCGCGGGAAAGCGGGCGCGGCGGAGAUCGCCGCCGGUCGCCGGAGAUGUCGUCGGUGGUCAACAAGCUCACUAACGCCGCCGAGAGGGAGUCGUCGGAGGCGGAAACCCUUAUCGCGGAGAUUCGCAAGGCGAUCGGCGAAAUGAAGUCCAUCGCCGUCGAUUACGAGAGGGAGAACAAGUCCGACAAGGUGAAGCAGCUUGAGGCGGCGGCGCUGGAACUGGUUGCUUCGUGCGAAGAUUGCACGUGCUACGCCGACGCGAUCCGGAAGGUGCCUGGGGCGUACCAGCCAUCUAAUCAGAUGACGGAUUUCGAAAAGCUGAUCGAGGCUGAGGUUAACAAGGUCAAGGGGAACUCAUCAACAUCAGUAGAGAACCAUCUGCUCAUUCGGCAGUUCAGAGAGGCAGUUUGGAAUGUUCACCAUGCUGGCCAACCAAUGCCUGGUGAUGAACAGGAGGAUGUUCUUAUGACCAGUACCCAAACUAGCAUCUUAAAUGUCACGUGCCCAUUAACUGGGAAGCCUGUAAUUCAAUUGACAGAGCCAGUUCGGUGUGCGGAUUGUAGGCACAUAUAUGAAAAAGUUCCAAUUAUGCAUUACAUAAGAAACCAAAAACCUCCGAAGUGCCCUAUCGCAGGUUGCCCAAGAGUCUUACAAGUAGGAAGGGUUACCUGUGAUUCCCUCCUCCAGGUUGAAAUCGAUGAAUUACGCUCGUCAGGGCCUUCUGCUCCAGACGCUGAAAACAUAGAGGAUUUAACUGACGACGAGGAUGACAGCAAUGAAUGAAGCUCUAGAAAAUGACUGCCCUUUUGGAUAAUUAUUGUAGCUAGGGACAAAUUUAAACUUUUGCUGUUGUAUUUGGUAUGUUUUAUGGGGAAUGUGGUUGCUACGUCAGUCUGAUCAUCUGGCCCUGCUUAGCAUCUGUUGAUUCUGUUCCCCUCUAACCAUUAUUUGCACUACUUGUAGCCAAUGAAACAUGGGCAGCUCCCACGGCAAGAUGUGAGUAAAGUGCAGGCUUAUGUAUGAUUUAUGGACCCUUGGUACACAAAUAAUCACAACAGCCAGAGAACUAGCUAAUAGAACAAACUGGGCCGUGGUUUGGGAAGACCGGCGUUUAUGUUGCAGAAAGAAUCAGAGGAAAAGAUGGAAUGAAACGUGGUCCAAAACCAAAGAGGACGCAGAGGCUUCCAGCCAGGGGAAGUGCAUGCACAGUACAGAAGCCUAAUGAAGAUGGAAUGCAUGCAUGGCACAGCUGCGUAGAGCAUCUCAGUCAUCAAAACAGGUUAAAAAAAAACUUGUUCUCAAAGUCCAUGUUUUUUUUCUGCUCUA